GACGAACGCUGGCGGCGUGCUUAACACAUGCAAGUCACGGGGGCUUCGCAAGGAGCAACCGGCGAACGGGUGCGUAACACGUGAGCGACCUGCCAUACCUGUGGGGGAGUAGCCGGCCCAACGGCCGGGUAAUACCGCAUACGAUCUUUGGAGCGCAUGCUCUGGAGACGAAAGCCGUAAGGCGCAGGAUGAGGGGCUCGCGGCCUAUCAGCUAGUUGGCGGGGAAUGGCCCACCAAGGCGAUGACGGGUAGCUGGUCUGAGAGGAUGGCCAGCCACAUUGGGACUGAGAGACGGCCCAGACUCCUACGGGAGGCAGCAGUGGGGAAUCUUGCGCAAUGGCCGCAAGGCUGACGCAGCGACGCCGCGUGUGGGAGGACGCCCUCGGGU
This 388-nucleotide ribosomal RNA is filed under the name uncultured bacterium. RNAcentral describes it as "bacterial SSU rRNA". It matches the Rfam family "Bacterial small subunit ribosomal RNA", at positions 28 to 423 of the family's 1533-position model. The record is from RNAcentral.